CACGGGGCAUCCGGGGGGCCGGGGCGAGGGAGGGCGUAUAAUAAACAGCAUCGCUGUCACGCAGGCAGGGCUGCCGGCUCCCAAAGCCUCCUCCCCGCGAUAACAAUCCAGGUACACAGAUCGGUUUCUAUGAAAAGAGGAGAGCAGAGAGCGGCUCCCGUCCCUCCCGGCCCUUCCUUCCCCAGCUGAAGCGUGACAUGGUUCUUUAUGCGCGCCUGACAUGGAGGCCGGGCGAAGAGGAGACGCCGGCUGCGCCCUGUGGCUUUUGGCAGCCAGGCCCCGCGUUCCCUCCGGCCUGCGGGGCCCCGGCACCAAGGCCCAGACCUAGCCUGGGUCGGAUCUUGGGGUGCCCCGGCCCCCCGAGCACACCCCGCCGACAGGCUGCAGCUGCACCCGCUGCCACAGGAGCCCGGGGCUCACCCCAGCCCUUUUCAUGAGACAAAACGCCUGCCUCAGCAGGCCACAGAGCAAAGGCCUGGGUCCAGGGCACGCUGAUGGGUCUUCCCAAUUUCUGCACCCACACUCACUCCACCACGAGGCCCUUCAUGUCCCUCAGCACCAAAAAAAACCCGAAACCACAAAAAUAACAACCCACAGCACCAGGGAGACCUGGAGCUGGAAUCUCCUUGAAUUCACAACAAGGGCUUGCCCGUGGAAGAUGUCAGGGGCUUGACUCUUGCCAGACGAUGCCAAUUUUUAAAAGCGUCUACCUCUAUGGAAGGAAACCAUUGAGAACUCACAAUUCCCAAACCCAGAUACUGCUAUUUUUACAAUAAUGUUACCAGUUAAGUUGUAAUGUUCAUAAAUCAAUUGUUAUUGAGAUUUGUUAUACUGAAGUAUUGUCUAGAGGAGUGAAAGAUGAAAGCAUCUGCAACCUGGGUCAUAAGCAGAGAAGUUAGAAAAGGUUUUUCUAUAGGUUUGGCUGAGCCUAUAGCAUGCAAGACGCCAGCUAUCCCCUUUGGGUUUAGGGAGACGGCUCUGUCUGGGUGCUUAUCCACAUCCCAAGGAAAGCACCUGGCAGCAGGCGGAUGGAGGAGGGAGUGGCUGAAAGCCGCAGGGUCACAUCUAGGGAAGGAAGUAAGUGGGCCACAACAAGCACUGCCAGCCAGUAGGGUUGGUAAUGCAGAGAAAGGAGACAAGCAAACACCUCUUCUAGCACAUGAUUUUGGGCUGGAACAGGACCAAGAAGACUCUCACUGUUUAUGGUGUCCCCAGGCAUGGCUGUGGUACCCAAACACCGCUGUUGGCAGUGCAUGAGUAAAUAAAGUUUGGCACUUUGGGUCAUAAAACAGGGUAUGGGCUUCUCUGCUGAGGGAAGCAUUGCUGUAAAAUCAUUAACUCAGGUAUCAGUAGCAGACUAACAAUGAGGAAAGAAAAUCCAAGAAGCUGAAUAAACACUCAGGUGAUUAGCCUGCACUCUGCUCAGUGCUGUUAUCUGUGCCUGAACUACCCAGAUCAGUGACAGGGUUGCCAGAGCAGCCACCUUCAGUAGAGACGUGUGGCCAAACAAUUCACUUUCACUUUCACAUCAGAUAGGAUUUUGCAUCCUUUUAAAUUCAUAUCUCAUUUCAGUUUAAAGUCUCUUCAGAACAAAUAUAAUACAAAAUAUCUGAGUACAGGAGUUGUGGACUCUGACCUGAGUUUGUCUGGAAUAAUUCCGUGUUGCAUCUUACUUCUCAUACUUGUGUUAUCUUCCCAAACCACCUUUAUCUCCAGAAUACUUACUAGAGAGAUGGAUCUGAUUUAUUUUUCCUAUUUACAUUAUUUGCUUUUCAUUUAUUGGUAUUAAUAGCUCUUUCUAGUAAUUUAUUUAAUGCUCUUAAAUCAGAAAGGAACAGGAAGUAUGCCUAUUUCUUCCAAUGUAUUGCAAAUGUCAGAAUAGCAAAAUUCAAAGUGACUAGAUACUGAACUGAAACAUCUCAUCAAAAUGUUCAUUUUUUUAAAUUCUGUCUGUCUCAGCAUUGGUGUCUGCAGAGGAUGCAGUGAAUGAAUAAUAUUUCUAGUCUGCAGUGGAGGUAAUCACAUAGUAGAGCUCUAAAGAAAACUCAUUCCAUGGACAUACAAGGUUGCAGCUCUUUUUUUCUCUUGUGUACAGGCUGCAGUGGGUAAAAGAGCUGCCAGGGUAAGAACUCUGCUCAGCUUUGGCCAGUUGAAAAUUCUUAAAUACACUUUGCAAAUAGUCCCACCAUCAAGCUGUGGUUAAGCUGCUGGGAAAGGAUGGAAGAAGCAACAAGUUUCCCUGCUGAUAAAUUAAAAAGGAAAUCAAAUGCUCCACACAUUAUCAAUACAGAAAAGUCCCUCAGCACAAACAACAAAGGAAUUUCUUAGUGUGAGUGCAUAACUCCAUCAGCCACUCAUUACAGCAGACAAAAGCAGAGACCUUCUGCACAGGGACAGUUCUGCUACGUCACCUGUACUCUGUUCCUCUCCUGUUACGAAGGAUAACAGGGUGUGUACCUCUUCUGAACAGAAGUGGGAAAGAGGGUUUCUUCCAAACACUUCAAGAGCAGUUGCAGAUCAUAAAUGUGAGUGGAGGGAUGCUGGAGCUUGCUAAUAUAUAUAGGCCACAUAUUUAUAAGCCAGGUCCUAAACCUACAGAAGUCAAGAGCUGGGCCUGCUUUAGGCCCAGACAAAGGAGCAGCAGGUCACAGAGGCAGCAACACCGUGUCCUCACUGGGCAAGGGAGACCUGCAGUGCGGAUGGCUCCCUCCUUCCACCAAAGCUCCCCAGAGCAAUAUGACCAAGUUUCCUCUCACUUAUCACCCUGUCAGACAGGUGUUUCUUGAGCAGGGUGAUAUAUAAAAGUAUGAGCAGGGGAAGAGGGGGAAGGCUGAGGCCCAGCAGGACCUUGCAGAGAGGUGGCAGGGCCAGGAGUGUGGUCAGUCAUGAAACCGUGAGUCACCCAGGACAGAUGGUGUCUGAGGUAACUAUCUUGAAGCUACCGCCACACUGCUGAAUUUUGCUUUCCCAGUAAUUCCCAGGAAACAGUAUUCUUGAGUAUCCUACUGAGAAACUUGAAGCCAGUCCUGAUUAUUUCCCCCUGUUCAUAUGAGGA
Cygnus olor (mute swan) is the source of this 3055-nucleotide long non-coding RNA. RefSeq lists it as uncharacterized. NCBI's taxonomy places the organism in Eukaryota, Metazoa, Chordata, Aves, Anseriformes, Anatidae. The record is from RefSeq and is a predicted model, not a curated record. The transcript has 2 exons.